GUAGGGUGCAAGCGUUGUCCGGAAUUAUUGGGCGUAAAGAGCUCGUAGGCGGCUUGUCGCGUCGACUGUGAAAACCCGCGGCUCAACCGCGGGCCUGCAUUCGAUACGGGCAGGCUAGAGUUCGGUAGGGGAGACUGGAAUUCCUGGUGUAGCGGUGAAAUGCGCAGAUAUCAGGAGGAACACCAAUAGCGAAGGCAGCUCGCUGGGACGUUACUGACACUGAGGCGCGAAAGCGUGGGGAGCGAACAGG
Molecule: ribosomal RNA, 250 nt
Filed under: uncultured bacterium
Lineage: Bacteria
Description: partial 16S ribosomal RNA
Rfam family: Bacterial small subunit ribosomal RNA
Source: RNAcentral